This 525-nucleotide ribosomal RNA is filed under the name Flavobacterium sp. AD149. RNAcentral describes it as "bacterial SSU rRNA". It matches the Rfam family "Bacterial small subunit ribosomal RNA", at positions 892 to 1419 of the family's 1533-position model. Lineage: Bacteria; Pseudomonadati; Bacteroidota; Flavobacteriia; Flavobacteriales; Flavobacteriaceae. The record is from RNAcentral.
GAAUGAAACUCAAAGGAAUUGACGGGGGCCCGCACAAGCGGUGGAGCAUGUGGUUUAAUUCGAUGAUACGCGAGGAUCCUUACCAAGGCUUAAAUGUAGAUCGACCGGUUAGGAAACAGAUCUUUCGCAAGACAAUUUACAAGGUGCUGCAUGGUAGUCGUCAGCUUGUGCCGUGAGGUGUCAGCUUAAGUCAUAUAACGAGUGCAACCCCUGUCGUUAGUGGCCAGGGAGUCAAGUCGGGAACUCUAACAAGACUGCCAGUGCAAACUGUGAGGAAGGUGGGGAUGAUGUCAAAUCAUCAGGGCCAUUUCCCCUUCGGAUACACACGCGCUACAAUGGCCGGUACAGAGAGCAGCCACUGGGCGACCAGGAGAGAAUAUAUUAAUCCGGUCACAGUUCGGAUUGGAGUAUGCAACUUGACUCCGUGAAGUUGGAAUCGGUAGUAAUCGGAUAUUAUCCAUGAUCCGGUGAAUACGUUCCCGGGCCUCGUACACACCGCCCGUCAAGCCACGGAAGCUGGGGGGC